RNAcentral lists this ribosomal RNA (479 nucleotides) under uncultured bacterium. Its description in RNAcentral is "partial 16S ribosomal RNA". It matches the Rfam family "Bacterial small subunit ribosomal RNA", at positions 28 to 507 of the family's 1533-position model. The record is from RNAcentral.
GAUGAACGCUAGCGGGAGGCCUAACACAUGCAAGCCGAGCGGUAGAGUUUCUUCGGAAACUUGAGAGCGGCGCACGGGUGCGUAACACGUGUGCAACCUACCUUUAUCUGGGGGAUAGCCUUUCGAAAGGAAGAUUAAUACCCCAUAAUAUAAUGAUUGGCAUCAAUUAUUAUUGAAAACUCCGGUGGAUAGAGAUGGGCACGCGCAAGAUUAGAUAGUUGGUGAGGUAACGGCUCACCAAGUCAAUGAUCUUUAGGGGUCCUGAGAGGGAGAUCCCCCACACUGGUACUGAGACACGGACCAGACUCCUACGGGAGGCAGCAGUGAGGAAUAUUGGACAAUGGGUGAGAGCCUGAUCCAGCCAUCCCGCGUGAAGGAUGACGGCCCUAUGGAUUGUAAACUUCUUUUGUACAGGGAUAAACCUACCCUCGUGAGAGUAGCUGAAGGUACUGUACGAAUAAGCACCGGCUAACUCCGUG